ACAAACUUGUCUAUGGUUCAAAUGCUUGGAUCAUGAGAAAGUUUUGAAGCCUACCAUGGAAGAAAGAUACAUUUAAUGUUCUGCUGUGAUUGAUUGCAGCAGUCAAACUGUUCUGUCAAAGCCUAAUUGCUUAAGGAGAAUUCGAGGAAUUAUUGAAGAGGGAUGGUUUAUGUGAAGGCCUGCCUGGAGCCCGGUCCACUUGACCGGCCCAACUGGGUCUCUUAUUUCUCGCCCGCGUGUGCUUCACACGUGACGGGCAAUAGCGGCGUCCUCCCAGUUUCCUCCGCGAUCACCGGCGAUUUCCUCUAUGAAUAGGAUCCACUCCCUCCCCAUAGCACUCCAUCAUCGAGCAAUGCCUCUCAUACUCUCUCUUUCUUCCGCUUUCCUCCCUUUGAAAUCGCGAUAUCCUGUCACCAUGCUCGCUGAAAAUCGAGGCAGCCAACGCCACCGGAGCCGAGGUAUUUGUUGCUAAUCCAAAUAAGCCAUGUGAGAUCAUCGAAGUCUUAGCAAACAAUCAUGCAGAAUUGCUGAUGUUGCAUCACAAUCUUCCUACAAGCAAAGAUCCUUUGGUUUUUCCUUUCAACGAGAUUGAAGUAGUAGGUUUCCAGCCCAGCAGUUUAUGGAGAAGAGGGGAAAGUUUGAGGAGAGGAAUAAGAAGAAGAGAGGGGACCUCAUCAUGGCACGCUGGAGCAGGAAUUGAAUCUGCACUUGGCUCUCAUAAAGCCAGAGGAAAACAACCUUUCAUUGCCACAGAAUCCCCCUUUUUGAUCAGCCGAACUUUCCGUAAGUUCCAACACCUCAGACUUUAACAUGUUUAUCAGUAUAACUCUGGUGCACAGAUCCAUAAGACAGAAAAUUUUAGAUACUCGAAGGAUCCAACAUGAACACACUCGCCUGCGCUCAAUACAUGCAUACAAGUCCAUGUAACCUAGGCCUUGUGUUAAUGAAAAGGCAUGUUCUGACAUUAUCACAUCAAGCUCAUAUCUUUACAUAUGUGAUGGUUGUUUCUGAUGAGUUUACUAUGACUCUAAAUAAAAACCAGCAUUAAUAAAACUUAAAUGAGGAAACGAUGUUUAGAGAUAGACUAAGUGUCAAACGCACUGAUAUGAACUGCACAUUGUUAUGCAGCAGAGCACAUAGCUGCAACACUGGUACAAAACGAUACCAACUGAUGUUAAAAAUAAAAUGAUUUUGUGCUGGAUUAUGCUCUACAAAUAGCAUUUAAAAUACUUUCUUCAUAAGGGUGGUGAAUAACGUAGAGAUUCUUUAUUCAAGCUCUUCUCUAAAGAAAAAGAAUAAAGAAUUCAAAUAGCGAUCUAAGAAUGUUUGAUUACAACAAGCUAAGUUGUUUUCGACAGAACCAAUGAUGCAACAUAGGUAAAGGAGAGUAGUUUGCCUUUUGAAUAAGGAUACAUAAUUGAACUGUACAUCUACAAAUUAGAAUGAUAGGACUUGGGUGUGGAAUUGGGCAAGUGUUAAUCUUAUAUGAUAGUAGGAGUCAAGAUAGCCUAUAACUUGUUCGAAAUAGUGCUUAUUUACUACCUAAAAUCAUAACUGAAGGCUGAUUCAUUAGUGUCUCUUUGACAAGAUUAAAUGACAUUUAUAUCUGAAAAGCACCAAGAUUGAAGGAGUCUUCAUUUAGCUAACUUAAAGGUUUAGAAAGAUACAUGGUAUCAAAAGCUAGAGUAGGAGCAUUUAGUGUGCUUAGAAUUGUCUAGGUGGAGGAUUGGGAGUGCCAUCAUAAUAUCAAAGCAAGUAUAGUACCAAAGGUUUGCCUAUUGAGAUAGGCCACCACAUUGAAACAUUUAUAUGGAUUUAACCUUUGGCCAUCUUAUUAGACUGGGAAAAACAUAUGAUAGGGCCAUGAAAUAAAUUUUUGUUACUGGCUUGUUGUUUCAAAGUCUCUGAAGCAUAGAAAGUGUAGUUUGGUGAAGUCAUUGACCUAGACUCUUGCAUAGAUGUUUGCUUUGCAUGGCCAAAUUUUUCUGGCCAGUUCUACUGUUGGAAAAAAGGGAGGUGAAGUGUCAGUUUUGGGCCUUAAAUUAGCAUUUAAUUAUCAUCAAAAUCAGUUGCUCAGCGGAUCCAUUCAUAUUGGGGAAGUGGGAAAUCGGGCAGCAAGCUAUGAUUAAAUGGCCCAUCCGCUCAUGUCAAACUUAAUUUAGUGUCGUUGUUAUCUAGACAUGGGUCUUGAGUGCUAAAUGUUCAAGUGUCAUAGGAAUCCGGCACAAUAGUUUUAAAAAACAUUAGACAUGGGGACAUGUCUAUACCUGUACAUAAAUUUUGUAUAUGCAUAAUACAUAUACAUAAAAUAUAAAUCCUACGGAAUAUAUUUAAAAAUGCGGUAAAUAAGAUUUUUGAUAAAUUUUGUUGGCAAAACCAUUAUUUUGGCCUAAUAGUCUAGAAAGUGGAAGUGUUUUAUAGCUGUCGAGUAAAGAAUAAAUACUCUGUAGUCUUGAUAGCCCCGAGUGACAUUGAUGUGUCAUUCAAUUAGUGGGUCAAACUGUCACGCCCCGAAUCGGUCACCUGGGUCAGCCAUGUGACACAGCCACAUACACCCUAAAAGGCCCCAGAGAAUAUGCAAGGCUUCAAAAUUUAUUACAACCUCAAUAUCACUAAACAAUAAUGAUCUCAAUUCAUAACAAAUAACAAUACUUAUACAAUUACAAAUUUAUUCAUACAACCGGUAACAAUGAUGCUUUAUCCCUUUUAUCUGUGAUCUCAACCAUAGCCAAGUAUUAAAAAAUCUGCAACUCUAAAAAUAAGAGAAAAAGAAGAUUGUGAGCUUUAUAGCUCAGUAAGAAUUUUUACACAUUCGCACUAAUAUAGUAAUAUAGUUUGAAAAUAUCAAUAAGCAACACCAAAAUGAAAAUAUAAAUUAUGAAAUCUUUUUUCAAACAUCCAAUAUAACUUAAUUAAUUGACAAAUAUCCAUAUACACAUGCAUCAAGUAUCCGGCUUAUCAAAAAAGAUAUAUCAUAAAUAUCAAUAUGUAAACCUUUUAUUCAGCAUUCAUUUCAUUUGUCUUAUCAUUCGUUUCUCAUUAUCUUAAUUUCAAGUUCCAUAGCAAUUAUUUUUCUGGUUUAGACUAACCCAGUCCAAGACUGCUAAACAAAAUCCCACGCAUAAGCUCGUGGAGACUGUUCCACGCGUAAGCCCAUGGAGGCUGUCCCACGCGUAAACUUAUGGAGGCUAUCCCACGCAUAAACUUAUAGAAGCGGUCCCAUGUGAAGCCCAUGGAGGCUAUUUCAUGACGAGGAGGGUCAGUUUUUUUUGUUAAGUUGCAAAGGCAAGGGUUUCUUGGUGUACAGCCAUACAUCAUCAGCAUCCUAGCUAGGACCUUCACAUUGUUCAAUGAUGCAGAUUUGUCAGAAGUGAAGAUGAGCAACUUGAAAAGGAGAGAGAUUUAAUAAUCAAGGAGAUUGAAAGACUUUCAUAUCUAUCGCAGGCAGCUGCUUAGUAAAAAUGUUUUGAGUUUAGAUGUUUUCCUGGUUUUUUCCUUAAUCGUCCAUGCUUGGAUCUAUGAUAGCUCUUGAUUGUGAAAGCAUUUAUGUUGAAUUAAUCUGCCCACUAAGAAAAAAUGGUUUGUUGA
Molecule: RNA transcript, 3588 nt
Organism: Phoenix dactylifera (date palm)
Lineage: Eukaryota; Viridiplantae; Streptophyta; Magnoliopsida; Arecales; Arecaceae
Source: RefSeq, a predicted model, not a curated record